Molecule: long non-coding RNA, 482 nt
Filed under: Fukomys damarensis (Damara mole-rat)
Lineage: Eukaryota; Metazoa; Chordata; Mammalia; Rodentia; Bathyergidae
Description: lncRNA (ENSFDAG00000022529.1)
Source: RNAcentral
GAAAAUCUUCAGAAAUUAUGCUCCAGUCUCAAUAAUAAAUGAAAUUAUGAUGUGAAAAAGAAGAUGAUGGAAACAUGAAAUGCAAACUGAAGUCUGAGAAAACACUUGAAAUUGAACAGGUGGCUACACAAUCUUCAGGCUUCGUUGUCUCAAACAGCUCUAUCCAGAGACACAGCAUCAGGGAUAAUCAAGGAGCUAAGAGUACUUAUUAUAUCUUUUCCCCCCACUUUGGUCAUAGAAGAAAUAUCUUUCCCUGAGAAAAACUACAUGUACUAAAGCUUUUAUUACUCUUGGGCCAGAAGUGAAUUGCUUGUCAACUUCUAAUUCAGGAGAGAGACUGAGAAGGAGGAAAAAAGGACACUAAUCCGAUUGGAUCAACUGUGUUUCAUUAGCCUGGCCUGGGAUCCUGAGGAGCAAAGAAGUUCAGAUUCCUAGUGGCAAUGUCAAAUGAUGCCUCCUGUUGGUUCAGCAAGUAACUGCAG